UCCGAAGGGUGCAAGCGUUGCUCGGAAUUAUUGGGCGUAAAGCGCACGUAGGCGGCUUGGCAAGUCGGAUGUGAAAUCCCUCGGCUCAACCAAGGAAGUGCAUCCGAAACUGCUGAGCUUGAGUACGAAAGAGGAUCGCGGAAUUCUCGGUGUAGCGGUGAAAUGCGUAGAUAUCGAGAGGAACACCUGCGGCGAAGGCGGGUUGCUGGGCUGACACUGACGCUGAUGCGCGAAAGCGUGGGGAGCAAACAGG
This 253-nucleotide ribosomal RNA is filed under the name uncultured bacterium. RNAcentral's name for it is "partial 16S ribosomal RNA". It matches the Rfam family "Bacterial small subunit ribosomal RNA", at positions 524 to 776 of the family's 1533-position model. The record is from RNAcentral.